AAUGGGUCAGCGACUUAUAUUCUGUAGCAAGGUUAACCGAAUAGGGGAGCCGAAGGGAAACCGAGUCUUAACUGGGCGUUAAGUUGCAGGGUAUAGACCCGAAACCCGGUGAUCUAGCCAUGGGCAGGUUGAAGGUUGGGUAACACUAACUGGAGGACCGAACCGACUAAUGUUGAAAAAUUAGCGGAUGACUUGUGGCUGGGGGUGAAAGGCCAAUCAAACCGGGAGAUAGCUGGUUCUCCCCGAAAGCUAUUUAGGUAGCGCCUCGUGAAUUCAUCUCCGGGGGUAGAGCACUGUUUCGGCAAGGGGGUCAUCCCGACUUACCAACCCGAUGCAAACUGCGAAUACCGGAGAAUGUUAUCACGGGAGACACACGGCGGGUGCUAACGUCCGUCGUGAAGAGGGAAACAACCCAGACCGCCAGCUAAGGUCCCAAAGUCAUGGUUAAGUGGGAAACGAUGUGGGAAGGCCCAGACAGCCAGGAUGUUGGCUUAGAAGCAGCCAUCAUUUAAAGAAAGCGUAAUAGCUCACUGGUCGAGUCGGCCUGCGCGGAAGAUGUAACGGGGCUAAACCAUGCACCGAAGCUGCGGCAGCGACGCUUAUGCGUUGUUGGGUAGGGGAGCGUUCUGUAAGCCUGUGAAGGUGUGCUGUGAGGCAUGCUGGAGGUAUCAGAAGUGCGAAUGCUGACAUAAGUAACGAUAAAGCGGGUGAAAAGCCCGCUCGCCGGAAGACCAAGGGUUCCUGUCCAACGUUAAUCGGGGCAGGGUGAGUCGACCCCUAAGGCGAGGCCGAAAGGCGUAGUCGAUGGGAAACAGGUUAAUAUUCCUGUACUUGGUGUUACUGCGAAGGGGGGACGGAGAAGGCUAUGUUGGCCGGGCGACGGUUGUCCCGGUUUAAGCGUGUAGGCUGGUUUUCCAGGCAAAUCCGGAAAAUCAAGG
RNAcentral lists this ribosomal RNA (938 nucleotides) under Escherichia coli. RNAcentral describes it as "partial 23S ribosomal RNA". It matches the Rfam family "Bacterial large subunit ribosomal RNA", at positions 614 to 1555 of the family's 2925-position model. The record is from RNAcentral. Lineage: Bacteria; Pseudomonadati; Pseudomonadota; Gammaproteobacteria; Enterobacterales; Enterobacteriaceae.